RNAcentral lists this transfer RNA (72 nucleotides) under Fomitiporia mediterranea MF3/22. RNAcentral describes it as "tRNA-Pro (CGG) (tRNA-Pro-CGG-2-1)". It matches the Rfam family "tRNA". Rfam says of the family: Transfer RNA (tRNA) molecules are approximately 80 nucleotides in length. Their secondary structure includes four short double-helical elements and three loops (D, anti-codon, and T loops). Further hydrogen bonds mediate the characteristic L-shaped molecular structure. tRNAs have two regions of fundamental functional importance: the anti-codon, which is responsible for specific mRNA codon recognition, and the 3' end, to which the tRNAs corresponding amino acid is attached (by aminoacyl-tRNA synthetases). tRNAs cope with the degeneracy of the genetic code in two manners: having more than one tRNA (with a specific anti-codon) for a particular amino acid; and 'wobble' base-pairing, i.e. permitting non-standard base-pairing at the 3rd anti-codon position. The record is from RNAcentral. Lineage: Eukaryota; Fungi; Basidiomycota; Agaricomycetes; Hymenochaetales; Hymenochaetaceae.
GGUUGUGUGGUCUAGUGGUAUGAUACCUGCUUCGGGUGCAGGUGGCCCGGAGUUCGAAUCUCCGCUCAACCC